ACGGGUGAGUAACAUUUAGGAAUCUGCCUAGUAGUGGGGGAUAGCUCGGGGAAACUCGAAUUAAUACCGCAUACGACCUACGGGUGAAAGGGGGCGCAAGCUCUUGCUAUUAGAUGAGCCUAAAUCAGAUUAGCUAGUUGGUGGGGUAAAGGCCUACCAAGGCGACGAUCUGUAACUGGUCUGAGAGGAUGAUCAGUCACACCGGAACUGAGACACGGUCCGGACUCCUACGGGAGGCAGCAGUGGGGAAUAUUGGACAAUGGGGGCAACCCUGAUCCAGCCAUGCCGCGUGUGUGAAGAAGGCCUUUUGGUUGUAAAGCACUUUAAGCAGGGAGGAGAGGCUAAUGGUUAAUACCCAUUAGAUUAGACGUUACCUGCAGAAUAAGCACCGGCUAACUCUGUGCCAGCAGCCGCGGUAAUACAGAGGGUGCGAGCGUUAAUCGGAAUUACUGGGCGUAAAGCGAGUGUAGGUGGCUCAUUAAGUCACAUGUGAAAUCCCCGGGCUUAACCUGGGAACUGCAUGUGAUACUGGUGGUGCUAGAAUAUGUGAGAGGGAAGUAGAAUUCCAGGUGUAGCGGUG
This 580-nucleotide ribosomal RNA is filed under the name uncultured bacterium. RNAcentral's name for it is "bacterial SSU rRNA". It matches the Rfam family "Bacterial small subunit ribosomal RNA", at positions 102 to 683 of the family's 1533-position model. The record is from RNAcentral.